This is a small nucleolar RNA of Otolemur garnettii (small-eared galago), 100 nucleotides long. The record is from Ensembl. NCBI's taxonomy places the organism in Eukaryota, Metazoa, Chordata, Mammalia, Primates, Galagidae.
AUCCUUUUGUGGUUCAUAAGCCUGAUUAUUGCCUGUACUUGCACACACGUUAGAUGUGCCUCUGGCCCCAAAGUUUGUUCAGCAUAUCACCUGUCUGAUG